This 464-nucleotide ribosomal RNA is filed under the name uncultured bacterium. Its description in RNAcentral is "partial 16S ribosomal RNA". It matches the Rfam family "Bacterial small subunit ribosomal RNA", at positions 28 to 507 of the family's 1533-position model. The record is from RNAcentral.
GACGAACGCUGGCGGCGUGCUUAACACAUGCAAGUCGAGCGGAAAGGCCCUUUCGUUGGUACUCGAGCGGCGAACGCGUGCGUAACACGUGCGUAAUCUUCCCUUCACUUUAGGAUAACCUCAGGAAACGGUGGCUAAUACCCAAUACGACCAUUCUUCUCAUGCGGAUGGGGUGGUAGUGUGUGCGGUGUUGGCUGUGCUUUCUGGCUAUCAGCUUGUUGGUUGGGUAAGUGCGUACCAAGGCGUCGUCGGGUAGCCGGCCUGAGAGGGUGACCGGCCACACGGGGCCUGAGGGACGGAGCAGACUCGUACGGGAGGCAGCAGUGGGGAACAUUGCACAAUGGGCGGAAGCCUGAUCCAGCAACGCCGCGUGAGGGAUGCCGGGCUUCGGGUUGUAAACCUCUUUCUCCUGUGCCGAAGCGAAAGUGACGGUAGCAGGAGAAGAAGCACCGGCUAACUACGUG